GCAAUCCCUACAAGGGCAGCUCUUGGGGCACAGAUCAGGGGUGAAAUGGAGACAAGAUCUGGAUGGGCAAAGGAAGGAGAUCCAGCUCACGUUUCAAGGCCAACUCCUCCCCAAGUGCACGACAAUCCCUCCCAUUGAAGGCGCCAAGAAGGAACUCACUGUCAUCGCCGAGACCAGAGUCAGCGGGUGAAGGCAGCGACCAGUUCUGGAACCACAUUCAGUCCCACACCCAAGCAGCUGAGCGAAACUCUUCCUCCUCCACGAGGCCUCUCCCAGCCCUUCAGUUCAUGACGCCUUGGUGAGAGAGGAGGAUCAAAUCAGGCAGGAAUGCAACCACAUCAGUCACCUGGAAGGAACGCAGGCAUCCGCAGAGGAGGGGGUGAGGUGUGGAGUCUCUGCCCGAACAUCGGUUAAGUGGUCUUGACAGAGAAGGCAGAAAAACCUUCCCUGCUGGAGUGUUAAAAGGUGACAACGCCCCAACCCUGUUUCUAACCUGCAUCAUUCCCCCACUUCCUUAGAGCCAUGUGCUCAGAAAGCAGGUCCAGGUGCCCUUGCAGGAGCCUCCUGUCCCUUUGUUCCAGCAGGUGUCUGUGAGUCUGUGUGCACGCCCUUGGGGGCUUAUGGGACCUAUAAGAACAGAUGAUUCUUCCCGUCUGUUCUGCCACAACCAAGCAACGCUCUGCCCUUCCUUGUAUGCCCCCUGGCCCCAAGGCAGUCUGAAAACACAAGGGAGUUCUCUUGAUGGAAACUUCUUGGGAGACUGCAGGCCUGCUAUGCAAAAGUCGCUUCCCAAAAGCCAGAAAGCCAUAUGCUG
RNAcentral lists this long non-coding RNA (814 nucleotides) under Homo sapiens (human). Its description in RNAcentral is "non-protein coding lnc-SOX9-8:3". Lineage: Eukaryota; Metazoa; Chordata; Mammalia; Primates; Hominidae. The record is from RNAcentral.